Non-coding RNA from Calycina marina, 109 nucleotides. Lineage: Eukaryota; Fungi; Ascomycota; Leotiomycetes; Helotiales; Pezizellaceae. The record is from the annotation of a GenBank genome assembly.
GGCCUAAUGGUCUAGUCGUAUGAUUGUUGCUUCGGGUAAAACCCUCACUGUUGAACAGUGGCUCUCAAGAGUUUGUGACAGGUCCUGGGUUCAAUUCCCAGUUAGGCCC